Notechis scutatus (mainland tiger snake) is the source of this 477-nucleotide non-coding RNA. The record is from RefSeq and is a predicted model, not a curated record. NCBI's taxonomy places the organism in Eukaryota, Metazoa, Chordata, Lepidosauria, Squamata, Elapidae.
UUGGAGAGGCGCGUGCGCGGCUUGUGGGCGGCCUCUCGCUGCCUUCCGCGACGGCCACGAGGUCGGUGGAACUCGGGAAGCGCCUGGAGGGUUUUCCAGGCCCGGUUCCGGAGGCAAGAGGGCCGUGCCCCAACGGAGUCACCGCCAUCAGAAACCGCUGCCUCGGGCAGAGUUGCAACAGCUGGCAAGAGGAGAAGAGGACGUGGUGGAAGACUUGGAUUUUUCCGAUGGAGACUGAUGGAUGGACAGAUUUUUUGGGGGGUUAACUGGACAGCUGUUGCCACUUGUGGAGGGCUGAGGAAGGGGCUGCAUUGUUCCAGCUGGUCCUGAGGGCACUGGAGGGAAAUUCCAGGAAAUUUUGUCCUCCAGCAGGGGAGCCUAAAAAGACCAUGAUGGCUGGAAAAAAAACCCUGCCUCUUUAGAAUAAUAAUAAUGGGGGUUCUUAAAACCAUCUCAAAAUAAAACCUACUUUAAAAA